UGCCAAGUGCUAGUUAGAGAUUGAGGACAU
Molecule: non-coding RNA, 30 nt
Filed under: Mus musculus (house mouse)
Lineage: Eukaryota; Metazoa; Chordata; Mammalia; Rodentia; Muridae
Source: RNAcentral